This 510-nucleotide ribosomal RNA is filed under the name uncultured bacterium. RNAcentral describes it as "partial 16S ribosomal RNA". It matches the Rfam family "Bacterial small subunit ribosomal RNA", at positions 28 to 507 of the family's 1533-position model. The record is from RNAcentral.
GACGAACGCUGGCGGCGUGCUUAACACAUGCAAGUCGAACGAAGAGCGAUGGAAGCUUGCUUCUAUCGAUCUUAGUGGCGAACGGGUGAGUAACGCGUAAUCAACCUGCCCUUCAGAGGGGGACAACAGUUGGAAACGACUGCUAAUACCGCAUACGAUCUAACCUCGGCAUCGAGGAUAGAUGAAAGGUGGCCUCUACAUGUAAGCUAUCACUGAAGGAGGGGAUUGCGUCUGAUUAGCUAGUUGGAGGGGUAACGGCCCACCAAGGCGAUGAUCAGUAGCCGGUCUGAGAGGAUGAACGGCCACAUUGGGACUGAGACACGGCCCAGACUCCUACGGGAGGCAGCAGUGGGGAAUCUUCCGCAAUGGACGAAAGUCUGACGGAGCAACGCCGCGUGAGUGAUGACGGCCUUCGGGUUGUAAAGCUCUGUUAAUCGGGACGAAAGGCCUUCUUGCGAAUAGUUAGAAGGAUUGACGGUACCGGAAUAGAAAGCCACGGCUAACUACGUG